Molecule: ribosomal RNA, 229 nt
Filed under: uncultured bacterium
Lineage: Bacteria
Description: partial 16S ribosomal RNA
Rfam family: Bacterial small subunit ribosomal RNA
Source: RNAcentral
UACGUAGGCGGAAUAUUAAGUCAGUGGUGAAAUCCUGCGGCUCAACCGUAGAACUGCCAUUGAUACUGAUAUUCUUGAAUGUAGUUGAGGUAGGCGGAAUGUGUAAUGUAGCGGCGAAAUGCUUAGAUAUUACACAGAACACCGAUUGCGAAGGCAGCUUACUAAACUAUGAUUGACGCUGAUGUACGAAAGCGUGGGGAGCGAACAGGAUUAGAUACCCUGGUAGUCC